This 77-nucleotide transfer RNA is filed under the name Neobacillus sp. PS3-12. RNAcentral's name for it is "tRNA-Arg". It matches the Rfam family "tRNA". From Rfam's summary of the family: Transfer RNA (tRNA) molecules are approximately 80 nucleotides in length. Their secondary structure includes four short double-helical elements and three loops (D, anti-codon, and T loops). The record is from RNAcentral. Lineage: Bacteria; Bacillati; Bacillota; Bacilli; Caryophanales; Bacillaceae.
GUGCUCGUAGCUAAAUUGGAUAAAGCGUCUGACUACGGAUCAGAAGGUUAUGGGUUCGACUCCUUUCGGGUGCGCCA